RNAcentral lists this ribosomal RNA (421 nucleotides) under uncultured eukaryote. Its description in RNAcentral is "SSU rRNA". It matches the Rfam family "Eukaryotic small subunit ribosomal RNA", at positions 592 to 1018 of the family's 1831-position model. The record is from RNAcentral.
CAAUAGCGUAUAUUAAAGUUGUUGCGGUUAAAAGCUCGUAGUUGGAUUUCUGUCGAGAACGGCCGGUCCGCACUAUGUGCGUGUAUCUGGUUCGGUCUUGGCAUCCUCUUGGAGAACGUAACUGCGCUUGAUUGCGUGGUGCGGUAUUCAAGACUUUUACUUUGAGGAAAUUAGAGUGUUCACGGCAGGCAAGCGCCUUGAAUAUAUUAGCAUGGAAUAAUAAUAUAGGAUCUCGGUUCUAUUUUGUUGGUUUCUAGAAUCAGGAUAAUGAUUAAUAGGGAUAAUUGGGGGCAUUUGUAUUAACGCGUCAGAGGUGGAAUUCUUGGAUUGCGUUACGACAAACUACUGCGAAAGCAUUUGCCAAGGAUGUUUUCAUUGAUCAAGAACGAAAGUAUGGGGAUCGAAGACGAUUAGAUACCAU